CUCAGCUUUCAGUUGAAAAUUUUAUCUGGAGCUCUCUGGUAGACCACGUAGGGACUGAAAAUCUCUAAAUAAAAAUUCACUUUUAAAUUUUUUAGUUUCCACCUAAAAUUUUCUAGUUUCUUUUUCCGUGAAGUUUAGCAUCAACGACAUAAUGUGCGGCGGUUUUGGAUGCGGUCCUUAUGGCUACGGACCUUCGGGGCCAUGCGGUCCCUGGUGUGGACCUUGGUGUGGCCCUUGCGCCUUUUCUCUUGGAGACUGUACCUACUCGAGUUGUGGCGGACCCAAAGGCUGCGGGCCGAGCGGACCCGCCUGUUGGCCGUACGGCCUGUACACCUGCUAAACUUUAGAAGGAUUUCAGGAACGUGUGAAAGAUUUCCCCAUGAGGUGUAAUACAGGGUAGAACUCUGUUCUUGGGUGGUGGGGGCUGUGCUAAUUGAAAUUUUCUCAAAUCAAAGUAUCCAGCUUUGGCAAUAAAAAUUUCCCCGUCGCUCGGCAGAUGCGGGUGGGAAAGGACCAGUGC
Long non-coding RNA from Drosophila takahashii, 520 nucleotides. RefSeq lists it as uncharacterized. The record is from RefSeq and is a predicted model, not a curated record. Lineage: Eukaryota; Metazoa; Arthropoda; Insecta; Diptera; Drosophilidae.